Molecule: unclassified non-coding RNA, 257 nt
Filed under: air metagenome
Description: partial contains small subunit ribosomal RNA, internal transcribed spacer 1, and 5.8S ribosomal RNA
Rfam family: Eukaryotic small subunit ribosomal RNA (bases 1-46)
Source: RNAcentral
AAGUCGUAACAAGGUUUCCGUAGGUGAACCUGCGGAAGGAUCAUUAACGAGUAAACAGGGGAGUUGUAGCUGGCCGCAAGGCAUGUGCACGCUCUCUACUCAAUCCAACCUUACACCUGUGCACCUAUUGUAGGUCGAGUGGCUGGACUUGUUCUGGUCGCUCAUCCUAUGUUUUACACAUACACUUGUAGUCUCAGAAUGUAAUCCGCGUAUAACGCAUUAUAAAACAACUUUCAACAACGGAUCUCUUGGCUCUC